UCUACCAUCUGGAAUACUUGA
Molecule: non-coding RNA, 21 nt
Filed under: Arabidopsis thaliana (thale cress)
Lineage: Eukaryota; Viridiplantae; Streptophyta; Magnoliopsida; Brassicales; Brassicaceae
Source: RNAcentral